RNAcentral lists this transfer RNA (31 nucleotides) under Chamaecyparis lawsoniana (Lawson's cypress). RNAcentral's name for it is "partial tRNA-Met". The record is from RNAcentral. Lineage: Eukaryota; Viridiplantae; Streptophyta; Pinopsida; Cupressales; Cupressaceae.
CCUACUUAACUCAGUGGUUAGAGUAUCGCUU